CGCUUAACCGACUGAGCCACCCAGACACCCCUUGUCAUUUAUUUUUUAAUGUUUAUUUAUUUAUUUUGAGACAGAGCAUGAGCAAGCCGGGAAAGUGCAGAGAGAGGGAGAGAGAGAGAGAGAAUCCCAAGCAGGCUCCGCACUGUCAGCACAGAGCCCCACGCAGAGCUUGAACCCAGGAACCGCAACAUCAUGACGUGAGCUGAAACCAAGAGUUGGAUGCUCAACUGACUGAGCCGUCCAGGCGCCCCGGAAAAAGUGUUGCUUAAUAAGGGUCUUUGGAAAGGAGGGCAACUGCCUUCUACCGAAUAUCUGCUGCGUUCUAGGAGCUUUACCCGUGCGAUCCGUCGGCGUUAACAUUGACACUUUGAAGUUACCCUCAGAAAGGUCAGUGGGGUGGGCAGAGGGAGUCUGUGGUGUGCAUUUCCAGCCUGACAGUUUCCGCCGCCCUUGGUGAAGACCCCACGCAGGUGGCUGGUGCGACUGUGCUCUGAUUACCUUUAAUUCUUAUUAGUGAAGAAACACCUCUCCUUCUAGGAUCCCCUGUAAAAACCUGGGGGAGAAGUA
RNAcentral lists this long non-coding RNA (567 nucleotides) under Felis catus (domestic cat). RNAcentral's name for it is "lncRNA (ENSFCAG00000051488.1)". The record is from RNAcentral. Lineage: Eukaryota; Metazoa; Chordata; Mammalia; Carnivora; Felidae.